RNAcentral lists this ribosomal RNA (253 nucleotides) under uncultured bacterium. RNAcentral's name for it is "partial 16S ribosomal RNA". It matches the Rfam family "Bacterial small subunit ribosomal RNA", at positions 524 to 776 of the family's 1533-position model. The record is from RNAcentral.
UACGUAGGGUGCAAGCGUUGUCCGGAAUUAUUGGGCGUAAAGAGCUCGUAGGCGGUCUGUCGCGUCUGCUGUGAAAACCCGGGGCUCAACCCCGGGCCUGCAGUCGAUACGGGCGGGCUAGAGUUCGGCAGGGGAGACUGGAAUUCCUGGUGUAGCGGUGAAAUGCGCAGAUAUCAGGAGGAACACCGGUGGCGAAGGCGGGUCUCUGGGCCGAUACUGACGCUGAGGAGCGAAAGCGUGGGGAGCGAACAGG